This 720-nucleotide long non-coding RNA is filed under the name Homo sapiens (human). Its description in RNAcentral is "non-protein coding MIR503HG:5". Lineage: Eukaryota; Metazoa; Chordata; Mammalia; Primates; Hominidae. The record is from RNAcentral.
GAAGGUAGAAGGUGGGGUCUGCCGGACGCGUGUUCCUGCCACCAGGUGCCCGCUCCCCGCGAGGCCGGCUCAGGAGCAGAAGGAAGCCCGGUGCCAGCCAGCCUUCCUGAAAGACCAAGCCCGCGCCAUCCGGCUUCCUCCAGUGGACGCCUGCAGGACCCAGGAAUGUUUUUCUUGAAGGCAUCCAGCAUCUCCAGUUAGCAGUACUGAUUUUUUUUCCCCCCAACAAAGGAACACUACAUCAACACUGUUGGCGGGGACCUGGACACAGAAGACUCCUGUUUCAAGAAAAUACAAUCAUCUCUCAAAGGCUGUAAUUUAUAUGCAUUUUAAAACUCUAGGCAUUGAAAACCACCCAAGUGUCCCAAAUAGAAGGGUAAUAUAUAAUCAAUCACUCAGUGUAAUAUUAUACAUCCUUUAAAAAUGUUAUUGGGAAAUGUUUUAUGAUCUGUAAGUCCAAGGAAUCCUCUCCCACCAUUUCUUUCCCCCCGCUGUUCCCCCAUACCCACACUUCUUUGUUCCAAUUGGCAUGUAAAUUUGGUUUUCCCGCCAAAUGAGUCAGUCAUGAUGGGAACCUCAACUGAUUUGAACAGAUGUGUGUCAAUGUUACUUGGAAAACUAGAUGUCAAUAACCAGGGUCACAGAAAAAGGCAGUGGUCACAACUCUGUAAAAAUGUAUGCAUGCACACAGACAAGAACUAAAGUGGAACCCCACACAGG